This 253-nucleotide ribosomal RNA is filed under the name uncultured bacterium. RNAcentral describes it as "partial 16S ribosomal RNA". It matches the Rfam family "Bacterial small subunit ribosomal RNA", at positions 524 to 776 of the family's 1533-position model. The record is from RNAcentral.
UACGUAGGGGGCAAGCGUUGUCCGGAAUCAUUGGGCGUAAAGAGCGUGUAGGCGGCUCGGUAAGUCCGCUGUGAAAGUCUAGGGCUCAACCCUGGAAUGCCGGUGGAAACUGUCGAGCUAGAGUCCGGAAGAGGCGAGUGGAAUUCCUGGUGUAGCGGUGAAAUGCGCAGAUAUCAGGAGGAACACCAAUGGCGAAGGCAGCUCGCUGGGACGGUACUGACGCUGAGACGCGAAAGCGUGGGGAGCAAACGGG